This 253-nucleotide ribosomal RNA is filed under the name uncultured bacterium. RNAcentral's name for it is "partial 16S ribosomal RNA". It matches the Rfam family "Bacterial small subunit ribosomal RNA", at positions 524 to 776 of the family's 1533-position model. The record is from RNAcentral.
UACGUAGGGGGCAAGCGUUGUCCGGAUUUACUGGGCGUAAAGAGCGUGUAGGCGGCCAGACAGGUCCGUUGUGAAAUCCCGGGGCUCAACCUCGGGCCUGCAGUCGAUACGGGCAGACUAGAGUGCGGUAGGGGAGACUGGAAUUCCUGGUGUAGCGGUGAAAUGCGCAGAUAUCAGGAGGAACACCGAUGGCGAAGGCAGGUCUCUGGGCCAUUACUGACACUGAGAAGCGAAAGCAUGGGGAGCGAACAGG